GACGAACGCUGGCGGCGUGCUUAACACAUGCAAGUCGAACGGAAAGGCCCUGCUUGCGGGGUGCUCGCGUGGGGAAAGGGUGAGUAAAACGUGGGUGAUAUGCGCUGCACUUCGGGAUAAGACUGGGAAACUGGGUCUAAUACCGGAGAGGAGACAUCCUUCGUCUGAGGGGUGGAUAGUUUUUUCGGUGUGGGAUGGGCUCGCGGCCUAUCAGCUUGUUGGUGGGGUAAUGGCCUACCAAGGCGGCGACGGGUAGCCGGCCUGAGAGGGUGGGCGGCCACAUUGGGACUGAGAUACGGCCCAGACUCCUACGGGAGGCAGCAGUGGGGAAUAUUGCACAAUGGGCGGAAGCCUGAUGCAGCGACGCCGCGUGGGGGAUGACGGCCUUCGGGUUGUAAACUCCUUUCGCUAGGGACGAAGCGUGUGUGACGGUACCUAGAUAAGAAGCACCGGCUAACUACGUG
This 464-nucleotide ribosomal RNA is filed under the name uncultured bacterium. RNAcentral's name for it is "partial 16S ribosomal RNA". It matches the Rfam family "Bacterial small subunit ribosomal RNA", at positions 28 to 507 of the family's 1533-position model. The record is from RNAcentral.